AACGAACGCUGGCGGCAGGCUUAACACAUGCAAGUCGAACGCACCGCAAGGGGAGUGGCAGACGGGUGAGUAACGCGUGGGAAUCUACCUUUUGCUACGGGAUGGCUCCGGGAAACUGGAAUUAAUACCGUAUGUGCCCUUCGGGGGAAAGAUUUAUCGGCAAAGGAUGAGCCCGCGUUGGAUUAGCUAGUUGGUGGGGUAAAGGCCUACCAAGGCGACGAUCCAUAGCUGGUCUAAGAGGAUGAUCAGCCACAUUGGGACUGAGACACGGCCCAAACUCCUACGGGAGGCAGCAGUGGGGAAUAUUGGACAAUGGGCGCAAGCCUGAUCCAGCCAUGCCGCGUGAGUGAUGAAGGCCCUAGGGUUGUAAAGCUCUUUCAGUGGGGACGAUAAUGACGGUACCCACAGAAGAAGCCCCGGCUAACUUCGUGCCAGCCGCCGCAGUAA
Molecule: ribosomal RNA, 447 nt
Filed under: uncultured bacterium
Lineage: Bacteria
Description: partial 16S ribosomal RNA
Rfam family: Bacterial small subunit ribosomal RNA
Source: RNAcentral